CCUACGGGAGGCAGCAGUGGAGAAUAUUGGACAAUGGGGGCAACCCUGAUCCAGCAAUGCCGCGUGUGUGAAGAAGGCCUGCGGGUUGUAAAGCACUUUCGGUGGGGACAAAAAGCGUUGCACUAACACUGCAAUGUUUGAUUUAACCCAUAGAAGAAGCACCGGCUAACUCUGUGCCAGCAGCCGCGGUAAU
Molecule: ribosomal RNA, 193 nt
Filed under: uncultured bacterium
Lineage: Bacteria
Description: partial 16S ribosomal RNA
Rfam family: Bacterial small subunit ribosomal RNA
Source: RNAcentral